AUGGCCUUCGCCGACACAGCAGCACGGAGGCUCCUGCGCGGCGCAGGUGGCGGUGUGGCUCGAGGAAUCGCCGCCGACGCCGUCGGCAUGAGCUUCGCCCUUGACGGAUUGUGGCAGAUCAUCGCGGGCCUGUUCGCGAGCGCGGCUCACCUGCUCGUCCUGCCGUUCGAGGUGCUCGGGCACUUGCUCGCCGCCGCGGCUCACCUGCUCGUCCUGCCUUUCGAGGCGCUCUGGCACUUGCUGCAGUCCGUCAUCGCCGGCGUUAGCUUUUGUUUCGACAGCCUCUUCGCCACGCUCGGGAGCGCGGCCCACGCUCUGGUGGUGCCGUUCGAGGCGCUCUGGCACUUGCUGCAGUCCGCUGCCGCGGGCGUUACCUUAUGCUUCGGAAACCUCGUUGCGGCGAUCGGGAGCGUGCCCCAUGCUCUGGCGGUGCCGUUCGUGGCGCUCUGGCACUUGCUGCAGUCCGCCGCCGCGGGUAUCGGCUUCUGCUUCGGCAACCUCGUCGCCGCGCUCGGUAGCGCAGCCCCCGCUCUAGUGGUGCCGUUCGAAGCGCUGUGGCAGUGGCUCCAGGCCGCCCCCGCAGCCAUCAGUUUCGGCUUCCACGGUCUGGGGCAGCUCAUACAUGGCUGCAUCGACGGCCUCGCCGCCGCGCUCGGGAGCGCGGCCCACGCUCUGGCGGUGCCGUUUGAAUCGCUCUGGCAGUGGCUCCAGGCCGCGGCCGCCGGCGUCAGUUCCAACUUCGACGGCUUCUGGGAGCACAUGCAGGGCCUCUUCGCCAACCUUCCCGCCGCGCUCGCCAGCGCUGCCCACAACCUCGUCCUGCCGUUACAGGCCUUCUGGCGGUGGAUACAGAACACCGUCGCCGGCGGCUGGGAUGGCUUUUGGCCGCUCAUCCAGCGCUUCGUCGCCACGGCCGCGAGCACGGCCCACGAGCUUGUCCCGGCCGUGGAGGCGUUGUGGCGGUGGCUCAAGGACGCCGCCGCCGUCGCGCUCCCCGUCGUGCUGGCCAUCGCCGCGGUCGUUUGCGUCGCGGCCCUAGUCUGGUUCUGGUGGCGGGUCCUCGGCGUCGCGGCCUUCGUGGCCGGCGUGCUGGUCGCGCAAGCGCUCGUGCUGGCCGGAGUGCUGGUCGCACAAGCGCUCGUCUUGGUCAUCUGCAUCUGCGGGCGCUGCUUGUUCGUCGUCGCCAUGGGGGUCGGGGGUGCGCUCGCCUACCUACUCCCCAUCUGUGGGCAGUACUGCGCCAGCGUUACCAUGGCUGCACCAGAGGUCGCCGGCGUGCUGAUAUCACGCGCCGCGUUCAAGGCGGAACCGCGGAUGUACUUCCAGAUCCUCCAUUUGGCUGGCCCCCUCGUGGCCUCUGCUGUCUUCUCCACGAGCCCCCUCCCCUGGGCGGUCGGACUGUCGGUCGUCGCCCUUUUCAGCCGUGGAUUUUCAGGCGGCAAAGAGCCGAUGCCGAGGUGCAAAACCUUGUCGACGACUCCUGAGGAAGAUCAGAUCUGGGUUCACGAGGAUGAUCAGAUGUGGACUCCUGCAGAAGAUCAGCCUAUUAUCAUAGUAGAAUAA
RNAcentral lists this ribosomal RNA (1563 nucleotides) under Triticum aestivum (bread wheat). Its description in RNAcentral is "partial small subunit ribosomal RNA". The record is from RNAcentral. Lineage: Eukaryota; Viridiplantae; Streptophyta; Magnoliopsida; Poales; Poaceae.